UACAGAGGCCCCAAGCAUUAUCCGGAUUCACUGGGCGUAAAGGGUGCGUAGGCGGUGUGAUUAGUCAGGUGUUAAAUCCUCGGGCUCAACCCGAGAAUCGCAUUUGAAACGGUCAUACUAGAAGAAGUCAGAGGUAAGCAGAACUCUCGGUGUAGGGGUGAAAUCCGUUGAUAUCGAGGGGAAUACCAAAUGCGAAGGCAGCUUACUGGGACUUUCUUGACGCUGAGGCACGAAAGCGUGGGUAGCGAACGGG
RNAcentral lists this ribosomal RNA (253 nucleotides) under uncultured bacterium. RNAcentral's name for it is "partial 16S ribosomal RNA". It matches the Rfam family "Bacterial small subunit ribosomal RNA", at positions 524 to 776 of the family's 1533-position model. The record is from RNAcentral.